Long non-coding RNA from Acanthochromis polyacanthus (spiny chromis), 1987 nucleotides. RefSeq lists it as uncharacterized. The transcript has 2 exons. NCBI's taxonomy places the organism in Eukaryota, Metazoa, Chordata, Actinopteri, Pomacentridae. The record is from RefSeq and is a predicted model, not a curated record.
GUUUCCCUGGCAACAAGGCAAUGGGUUUGGUAGUCAGCCAACAUACUGCUCCAUUUAAAAGCUUUUAAUAAUAGAGAAGUCAUUUUGAGAUGGGGAGAAGGAGGAUUUGCUUUUUUCUGGUAUGAUGCAGAAAAUAAGUAAACACUUCUGGUCUGCAGUUUGACCUAGAAAGCAAGGAAAAGCUUUUCACUGAAAAAAUGUGAGGCACUUUAAGAGGAAGCAACACAAGGAGAAAUCAGACAAAAUGGUAACAUGCUGUAUUAACUGUAGGCUGUAGUACAAACAGCAUGCUGCCUGCUGUAAUCUGCUGUCUUUUCCUAGCUGUUUGUGGCAGACAAUGGAUCCCUGGAGGAGGGGUUUCUUUGACCAGAUAUACCCUCCCCCAUUCAGGUCUCUGCAAGUUCUCCCCCUCUUCUCAGGCACCUUAAUCCACAAUUUAAUGAGCAUUGCCCCCCCCGGCUGUUGCUCCUUUUUUUCUACCUCUUUCUAUGCUCUCAUAUUUCUCUCAAGAGCAUUUGUGCACUAAAAUCUUUUACACAAAUGCAAAGACAGUAAAAUUCAAAAUGACACUUUCUCUGCAGCAGUUUGCUUCCUGCUUUGACUCUGCAUUUUACUUCUGUCACCUGAAAAUUUCAGAAAUAUUUAAGUAAUGUGUUCUUACUUCAUUAGUGCCACUGGUUGCUAGAUUGGAUUAGAUCCUCAAUGCUUCUCACUAGAAGGUGAGACGUGGCUGGUGCAUUGUCAUACUGCAAAUUGGAAGCUUCUGACAAAUGUUAAUCUCUGUUGUUAAAGAAGUGACAGAAAUGUUCCUGAAAGGUUUCUAGAGGUGUGCAAAGAAGUUUGAUUAGUCUUGUGAUGAAGGACAGCUGGAAAGGGCCUUCAAACAGGCAAUUGAGACAUUGGCCAAUCAGAGGCCACUACACUCUGCUGCUCUGCAGAGGAGAACCUUGUUUGUGGAGGGACCAGAGGAGAGUGUUUGCUGGGACUGCACAGACGUAUUUGGUGUUGCUUGUCAUUUUCUCUGAGUGCGUGCAUUCUACUGGUCAGAAACAAAUACCAGAGUGACUAAGAGCUACUGAGAUGCUGAAGAACUGGUUCUCAACUCACGACCCAGCACUGUGGAGAGAUCUACGAGACAUCGCCAACUACAGGAGACCCUCCCUCCCUGCUGAGGCAAACAAAGACCUAGCCAACAACCUCAGUAUCUUCUACUGUACAUUUGAAAGGGGCACAUCCAUAGCCCAUCUCUCAUCAACAUCACAACCACACCAGCAGCCCCCAUCACACCUCAAGCUGCACCUCUAACUGCCCAUCCUUGCCACAUUCAAGAGGAAGUGAGCUGACUCUUCAAGAGGCAGAAAACCAGGAAAGCACUAGGCCCAGACCCUCCUGUCUUAAAGCCUGUGCUGACCAGCUGGCACCAAUCUUCACCAGGAUCUUCAACAGCGAAGUCCCCUCUAUAUUCAACAAUCACCUCAACAACCUGGACUGUCAGCACUGCUGCCCCCCAAUGUGCUGUCUCCACUACUCUUCUUCUUCUACACCAAUGAAUGCACCUCCAAGCACCCCGCAGUUAAACUCCUGAAGUUUGCAAAUGACACAACAAUCAUCAGCCUGAUUCAGGAUGGGGAUGAGUCUGCAUAUCAGCAGGAGGUUGAGCGGCUGGUGUUUUGAUGCAGCCAGAACAACCUGAAGCGGAACAUGCUAAAGACUUCACUGCUCCUCCUGACCAUCAGCAACAAGAACUGUGUCAGCUGUGGAGUCCGUCAAGCUCCUAGGGACUACAAUCUCUCAGGACCUGAAGUGGGAGAUGAACAUCUGCUCCAUCCUGAAAAAGGCUCAGCGGAGGAUAUAUUUCCUGCAACACAUGAGCUGUUGAUCCAGUUGUACUUUGCAGUCAUUAAAUCUAGAGUGACACUGACAGCUGAAACCAAAUUCCUUCUAUGUUGUGUACAUAUUUGGCCAUUAAAUCUGACUCUGAUUCUGA